CCCUACGGGAGGCAGCAGUGGGGAAUAUUGCACAAUGGGGGAAACCCUGAUGCAGCAACGCCGCGUGAGUGAAGAAGUAUUUCGGUAUGUAAAGCUCUAUCAGCAGGGAAGAAAAUGACGGUACCUGAGUAAGAAGCCCCGGCUAACUACGUGCCAGCAGCCGCGGUAAUACGUAGGGGGCAAGCGUUAUCCGGAUUUACUGGGUGUAAAGGGAGCGUAGACGGCAUAGCAAGUCUGAAGUGAAAGCCCAAGGCUCAACCAUGGGACUGCUUUGGAAACUGUUAAGCUAGAGUGCUGGAGAGGUA
This 305-nucleotide ribosomal RNA is filed under the name uncultured bacterium. RNAcentral describes it as "bacterial SSU rRNA". It matches the Rfam family "Bacterial small subunit ribosomal RNA", at positions 337 to 659 of the family's 1533-position model. The record is from RNAcentral.